Molecule: unclassified non-coding RNA, 364 nt
Filed under: Hevea brasiliensis (rubber tree)
Lineage: Eukaryota; Viridiplantae; Streptophyta; Magnoliopsida; Malpighiales; Euphorbiaceae
Source: RNAcentral
ACACUGCAUUAUGCUUAUUUGGAUCAAAUUCUUCAUUUGUAGGAUCAUAUUUUCCCACUCCAAAUUUUUUAAAAACCUCGGCAAGCUGUUUAUCAGUCAUUUCAACACCUUCAAGAAGUGUAUUCAGAAGUGGCACAGCACCAACAGUAUCCUUAGAUUCAUCAAUUUUGGAGAAGCUCUCUUUUACAACAGAAGAAGCCCGUCCCAUAUUAUCAGCAACAUCUAGAAGUGCUUUCACAAAAUUUUGAAUGGCAAACUUCUUGGAAUUUUCUGCUUCUCGUUUGGUUCUGUUCAUGAGAUUCUCCAUCUCCGCAUAAGAUCUAAGAGCUUUUUCCUUCAUUUUCUGAAACUCAUCAUCUUUUAU